This is a long non-coding RNA of Solanum tuberosum (potato), 637 nucleotides long. RefSeq lists it as uncharacterized. The transcript is spliced from 2 exons. NCBI's taxonomy places the organism in Eukaryota, Viridiplantae, Streptophyta, Magnoliopsida, Solanales, Solanaceae. The record is from RefSeq and is a predicted model, not a curated record.
UCUCAUUCUCUCCCUCACAAAAAGAAUGUCGCCUCUAUCUAUUCCUCUCCUCUUCGGCCAGCGUAGCCGGUGAAGCAGUCGCCUGGUGCCAGCGGCGGGCUUCGUUCCUCCUCCCUUACCCUUCGCCUUCUCUCUCUCCUCUCUUUUCAAACGAGAAAUAAUAGCUAGCAGCUCUAGUGAGCCGGCUCCAACCAACAGCUAGGCAAGCUAGCGCAGGCAGCAACUCCGACAGGUGACCUCCGAUCAGCGAGCAUCGACUGGCGAAGAGAGCAGCAACGACCAGUGAGGCCCCAACAACGAGGAGUAGCAGCAGCAGACGACAACUCCAGCAUCAACGGCAGCAGCUCUAGCAAAUGCAGCAGUCGCGUGAGGCUUGUACACUGGUGAAAACAACAACAAAUCAGACUAAGCGAAGCUUCGGUCAACGAACUCCGGCGAAGUAAAGGUUGGAUCAACUCGAGAUUUAAAGGGUUGAUAUGUUCAAAGAUGGAUCUUUUCAGAUCCGUCCGGACAAGUUGUGGAAGGGGGAAAUCAAGACUAGUGGCUAGUGAAGUUCUUUUGCAAUGGUAUUUUGAGAAGCAACCUCUAUUUUACUGCCUCGGUUUUGUUAAUAUUUAGUAUAUCUUAGUUAGACUUU